RNAcentral lists this ribosomal RNA (4487 nucleotides) under Triticum aestivum (bread wheat). RNAcentral's name for it is "partial small subunit ribosomal RNA". Lineage: Eukaryota; Viridiplantae; Streptophyta; Magnoliopsida; Poales; Poaceae. The record is from RNAcentral.
GUUGACGUUUCCAUUUCCGCCACUCCACAGUCCACACCGAAAUCAGAUCCAAAUCCCACCACACCAAUCCAUCCGCCCCCAUCUCCAUCCCCGUCGCCCGAUCCGAUCCGGUCCGGUCCCUCGCCAUGGCACCGUCGUUCUGGGGCCCCGAGUUCCCCCCGCAGCCGGCGGCGGUGUUCGAUGACCUCGCGCUCGUGGAGGCGGAGGACGCGUACGAGGACGAGAUGGAGGAGGAGGGCGAGGGGGACGAGCAGCAUGAGCACGGCAGCGACGGGGAAGUCGUCCCGAUGGACAUCGAGGACCUGGAGGAGGCGCAUCUCUCCUGCGGCUGCGGCCGCAACCUGCUCACCCUGUGCUUCCGGGGCGUUGUGCACAUCUUCAUGUCCGCCUCCCCUGACAAGGUGUCGGAGGUGGAAGCUGCACUUUCGCUGCAGGGGCGAUUGGAUCCGGCGGACUCUACCACUGUGCCGCCCGCCGCGCGCAACACGCUCACCAUGAUCUUCCGGGGCCAGGAGUGCAGUUUCGACUCUGUAACCCCUGAUGAGGUGCAAGAUGUACUUUUGUCGCUCGCGGGAAGGGAGCUGAUGGUCCCUAGGAUUGAGCUCAAAAUGGAGUUCCUGCACGGGAGCUACGACUUCGACUCUGUAUCCCCUGAUAAGUUGCAAGCUGCACUUCCGCUGCUGGGGGGAAUGGAUCUGACGGUCUCUACGGCUCUGCCAUGUGCCAACAACCAGCUCACUGAACCCUUGAUAUGCUGGAUCGACGUGUUCGACCCUGUAUUCCCUGAUAAGAUGCAAGCUUUACUUUCGCUGCUCGGGGGAGACGAGCUCAACCCAGGCAUUGGUGGUGGAGCAUCACCAUCAAUUCCAUACAGACUAUUUUUACAGUCUAUAAACCAUGUUUGGUAAGAUUAUGUGCUGGAUGAUUCACAUGCGGCAGAGGUCGAAUUUACCCUGCUUCAGAGGUUGAAUUUUCCACAGUGGUGGCACCAUUGAUGAGAUUUAGGGAGAAGCUGAAAAAGCAGGACUUUGUUAAGAAGAUCUGUUAUACUACUGUUUGGAAGAAACUUGCACUAAGGAUGCAGCGCAGUAGAUGCCAAUUUACAUCUUCAAGGCCAAAACCUGAUAAAUCAGCAUCCAAGUUGGUAACUCCAGAUGGCUCCGCAAAUAGGGAAUUAGUGGAGGCUCGAUGUCUGUCUGCUGCCGAGUAAGGAUGCAGCGCAAUAGAGACCAAUACAUCUUCAAGACCAAGACCUUAUGAAGCAACAUCAGAACUUGGCAACUCAAAUAAGGGAUUAGUGGAGGGUCGACCUCCGUUGGGUAAGUAUUUUUUUGGCCUCGAACUCUUCCAAAAGUGAAGAAAUCGUCCCUCAACUUCAAAACCACCAAAAUUCAGUCCCUCAACUAUUUAAACCGGAUACUUUUCGUCCCUAAUAACGUUUAAGGUGGUUUUACUGUGACGUGGACCCUGUUUUGACUAAAACGGGCCACGUGGGCUGGUUUUGACCUCCAGGUCAAUCAAGUGACUAAGGGCACCCGCUGGCUCUCUCUCUCGCUUUCGCAUUCUCUCGAUCCCUUUUCCCAUUCACGAACCCUAAAUAGAGCGGUGGCGGCGGGCUGUGAGGCGUGGCUACGGCGGCGUGGCCUGCCAGUGAUUGAGGCGCGGUGGUUGCUGGCUGAGCACGGUGGCUGUGGUGGUGGCUGCUAGGGCAUGACGGCAGCGACCUUGAGCACGACCAGUUCUGGGCGGCGGCGGCGAUUUAGGCAGCGGCUGCGGUGGUGAUUCCCUCAUGGGCGGCGGUGAUUGAGGCCCGCGGUUGCUGGUUGAGCAUGGUGGCGGCUGCGCUGUGAAAUCCAGUUCAUCCUUUACUGUCAAUGUUACCUCCGGCCCGGCAAGUUCCCAAGUUGGCGGAAAUUAAAGAGCAAAGAAAGUGCCAGCAAAACUACCAGACUAGUGCUUGUUUGCUGUUGUCUGUUCUUAUGUCAGACCAUGUGAGAAUUCAUGUUUGUCAUUGAUUCUAAGCUAUAUUCAGUACUAUUUCCCUUUCCCAUUUAGUACUUUGUCAGACUAUGUUAAACUAAAUUGGGUCGAGAAUGUGUUCAGACUAUUUUCAAUUAAAUUGUGUUCAGACUAUGUUCAGCUAAAUUCAGUACAAUGCUCUGAAAUGUCCAAACUAUUUUCAGUUAUAUUCAGAUUUUGAUAAGCUAUAUUCAGUGCAAACACUUUCCUUUUCUCUUGGUUCUCACUUGUACACACGCGCACACACACUCAUGCACAAACACUUAAUUGAUGUGGCAGUCAAAACCAGUGUAUGUGGCCCGUUUCAGUCAAAACAGGGUCCACGUCAAAAUAAAACCACCUCAAGUGUUAUGACGAACGAAAAGUAUCCGGUUUAAAUGGUUGAGGGACGAAAAGUAUCUGGUUUAAAUAGUUGAGGGACUGACUUUGGGUGGUUUUGGAGUUGAGGGAUGAUUUCUCAACUUUCAAAAGACUUCCGAGGAUGAAAAAUUUACUUAUCCCACCUCUGUCUGCUGCUGAGUGCUGAGUAAGUUAAUAGAGGCCAAUGUACUUUGCUGCUAUUGGUUUAUAUGUAUUUGAAUUUUCCAGCAACAUUUUAGAUGCUUUCUGUGGGAUUUGGCAGCUAUGCGUUGAGCCGUUGAGAAUCAUUGCUAUGCUUGAAAUAAUUGAUCUAGUAUGUCAUAGUAGGUGCCACAAAAGAAACACGAUUCUUGCAAAUACUUAGUGCAGUUGGCGUCUACACAUCAUCAUAGUAUAUAGUUAGCUUUUUUUAGUCUAGCUUGUCUCUUUCCUGGGAUAUUCAGUUUUGUUUACUUUGUUAGUUGUGCAAGCAGGAUUGAUAUGGACUGAAGGCAUUAUCUGAUACCUAGCAUACAUGGAGAGAUGCUUCUUUCCAUAUGAUAUUGUUAUUGCUAGUUCUUACCUUUUUGGUUUCUUAAGCCUCAUCCCAAAUCCAGAAGCCUGAGAACUGUGGUACACAGAUUUUAAGGGUGAGUAUCAGGAGGGAGUGGCUUGCUCAUUAAUAAAUUCGGAUGUCCUUGGCACCCUCGUCUCCAUGGGAGAUGUAAAGUUAUCUUGGUCAUGAUCAUCUUAAUGAUUUCCCGGGUUCCUAGUUUUUUCUUAUUCCUAUGAAUCAAACACCCAACUCUACAAAAUUCAUGUGUUUUGUGAUUCUUUAUUUUGCGCAUGCUUUCGUAUCCUAUUUUUUUGGUUUCCUGUUCUUAAGUUUUUUGAGUCCUGCGAACCAAGAGGCCCUUAGUGGGAUAUGGUUCUGUUCUGGUGGUGGCUUUGGUUACCAUGUGCCUAUGGAAGACCUCAUUGGGCGAGGAGAGCUUGGGAAAUUUAUAUCAUGUGCCUAUUGAAGGCCUCAUUUGCCGAUGAGUGCUCGGGAAAAUGUAUACCAAAUUCAUGAAAGGCAGAGAUCAUAGAUGGGAGUCGACUUGAUACAGACCUGGAAGUUGCUAGACGAUGAAGACCUUCCCAAAAUUGAUGAGCAGGUUCUAUGGAGACAUGGCGGGGAUGAUCCUUACCAGUGUCUACUUGUAAGCUGAGGACACAAAUCUCUCAGUAUGUUGUGAACAUAUUAUGAUACAUCAGUUUGAUUUGUCCUCUUGCUGUGGGAGUUAGGAUCAUAUUUGAUUUUCUUUCUUGAGCAAGCAGUCAGCCAAAAUCUUUUACCGCGUAUGGCCGGCUUCUUUGUGUUUCAUUACUCAUUAACGAGAUGAAACUUGUAUAUAAAAAGGUCACCUGUUUUGAAUAAAAAGACAGAAUCCCGGUAUCUUAUAUGGAGUUGCCCUGUUCAGUUAGCAGCCUUCUUUCUCUCAAGCAUAUAUGAAAGAAAGAAACCAACCACUGGGAAAAUAUAGCAUGGAGUAGCUCCAUAAGGAGUUGCCUAUUAUUCUUAUAUAACAGUUGUUUACAUGUAUUACACCAAUGAAAUUAGAUAGAAUGCUAUAGUAUUAUGCUGUUCAUCAAUAUAUGAUUAGUCCUGAACUUAUUGUGUAUGAAACUCGUGUGGAAACCUAUGCAAGCACAAACCUGCCCCCGGAACAUCCACCGGCAUGCAUGUAUAGGCUCUAGAUAAAUUGGUUUACUUUACUUGGACAAUGCAAGUUCCAGAUUAUCUUCCAGGCUUGACUCUUUGUAUUAUCUGCAUCACUUGGCUUCUACAGCUGCGCAUGAGAGGAACACAUGAGUUCACAACAACAUUGCUUACGGAAAUAUGGAAAUUAUGUCGUUCCUGGUACCGAGAAGCCAAGUAGUAUAAGAGAGACAUGAGAGGUGCCCUCCUUGUAUUAGAUUAUCAUAUCAGUAGUAACUUACGCAUGAACAAUCAUAGGUUGCCCUCUUGUAUAUUAAGUGUCUACACCACUGAAGAAUGGAGGACAUUCAGUGGGCGGCAGUUUUUGACGAUUGUUAUUUUAUGGCGUGCGAUUUUCUGCGUAUUAGUUUUGAGCAUUGUAAUAGGG